This 504-nucleotide unclassified non-coding RNA is filed under the name Hevea brasiliensis (rubber tree). Lineage: Eukaryota; Viridiplantae; Streptophyta; Magnoliopsida; Malpighiales; Euphorbiaceae. The record is from RNAcentral.
CAGAUCAAUCAAUGGAUAUAUCAGGUACCUUUCAAUAUAACACGGUUGUUUGCAUGUUUAUCAUGUUUCUUUAUAGACUUUUUUCGUUUGUUCCACAAUUAGAGACUGUACAUGCUAAAGUUCAAAGGAUAUUAGUUUAAAAGAAGAAUCAACGAGGAACUCAAAUUUCUAGUCAAACUUAAGCCUAAUGGACCACAAUUAGCUAGAAAUUAUAAAUUCAUUUCUUUUAGUAAAGUUUGGAAAAUUCUGAAUGUAUGAGUUUAGAAAAAUCAACAAAUCAUCUGUGUUAUAAAUUCUCAUAGUUUUAACUACAAGUCAUGAUUGGUAAAGAGUAGGCUAUAUACUUGGAACUCUAUCUGCUUGUGGAACUUCAGGGAAUCUGUAGAAGAGUAGUUCUUUGGUUUACACACAUAAUUUUUCCUCAUAAAGAUCAAGUUUCAUGUUACCCUAAAUUAAUAUUGCUUUGUACAUGUGUGGCGUGCAGAUCACCAGAUUAUACAAGGG